UGGAAGCAGCCAUCCUUUAAAGAAAGCGUAAUAGCUCAUUGGUCUAGUUUUUUUGCGCCUAAAAUGUAUCGAGACUUAAGAAAUUUACCGAAGCGGCAAGUUUUAUUUAUAAUAAAACGGUAGCGGAACAUUCUGUACGUUGAUAAAGAUAUGUUGUAAAAUAUAUUGAAGAUAUCAGAAAAGAAAAUGCUGGCAUUAGUAACAAAAAAUAAUGAAUAAGAAUCAUUAUCACCGUAAAUCCAAGGGUUUCUAUGUUAAAAUGUAUUUCAUAGAGUGAAACGGCCCCUAAGAAAGAUUUGACGAAAGCAAAUUUUGAUGGGAUAAUUUUUAAAUUAAAUUUUUUAAAAAAAGUGACAAAAAGUUUUACUUUUUCAGGAAAUAGCUUUUUUUAAAAAAAACCGUACCCUAAACCGACACAGGUGGAUAGGUCGAGUAGACUAAGGUGGAUGAGAGAAUUAUAUUGAAGGAACUCGGCAAAAUGACUCUGUAACUUCGGGAUAAAGAGUACCUAAAUAUUAUAUUUAGGUGUCACAAAAUAGGGGGUUGCGACUGUUUAAUAAAAACUUAGGACUCUGCUAAAUGGUAACAUGAUGUAUAGGGUCUGACACCUGCCCGGUGCUGGAAGAUUAAUAGGAGAUGUUUGCGCAUUGAAUGGAAGUCCCAGUAAACGGCGGCCGUAACUCUGACGGUCCUAAGGUAGCGAAAUUCCUUGUCGGGUAAGUUCCGACCUGCAUGAAUGGUGUAACGACAUCCCCGCUGUCUCCAAUAUAAACUCAGUGAAUUUGAAUUAUCCGUGAAGAUGCGGAUUCUCUAUAGUUAGACGGAAAGACCCCGUGAACCUUUACUACAUCUUUAUAUUGUUAUUUUAUCUAAUAUGUGUAGCAUAAGUGGGAAUCAAUAAGACCUUCACGCUAGUGAAUUGUUUAGAUAACAUUGAAAUACCACUCUUAUUAAAAUAAAUAACUAAUAUUUUUAUAAAUAGACAGUGUAUGGUUGGUAGUUUGAAUGGGGCGGUCACCUCCUAAAGAGUAACGGAGGUGUACAAAGGUAAGCUCAAAUUGGAUUAUAUUAUCAAUUGUAGAGCGCAAUGGUAUAAGCUUGCUUGACUGUAAGAUAGACAUAUCAAACAGGGACGAAAGUCGGUCAUAGUGAUCCGAUAAUUCUUUGUGGAAAGAUUAUCGCUCAACGGAUAAAAGGUACUCCGGGGAUAACAGGGUGAUGACUCCUAAGAGCUCCU
RNAcentral lists this non-coding RNA (1237 nucleotides) under Globisporangium ultimum DAOM BR144. RNAcentral's name for it is "Pythium ultimum DAOM BR144 Bacterial large subunit ribosomal RNA". It matches the Rfam family "Bacterial large subunit ribosomal RNA", at positions 1107 to 2503 of the family's 2925-position model. The record is from Rfam by way of RNAcentral. Lineage: Eukaryota; Oomycota; Peronosporomycetes; Pythiales; Pythiaceae.